GAAUAACAAAAUCGAGUCUGUCGACAUCCGCAGACUCUACAAUACACACAGCAGUACGUUCUUGU
This 65-nucleotide unclassified non-coding RNA is filed under the name Escherichia fergusonii ATCC 35469. Its description in RNAcentral is "IsrA". The record is from RNAcentral. Lineage: Bacteria; Pseudomonadati; Pseudomonadota; Gammaproteobacteria; Enterobacterales; Enterobacteriaceae.